Molecule: ribosomal RNA, 433 nt
Filed under: uncultured bacterium
Lineage: Bacteria
Description: partial 16S ribosomal RNA
Rfam family: Bacterial small subunit ribosomal RNA
Source: RNAcentral
AACGAACGCUGGCGGCAUGCCUAACACAUGCAAGUCGAACGAGACCUUCGGGUCUAGUGGCGCACGGGUGCGUAACGCGUGGGAACCUGCCCUUAGGUUCGAAAUAACUCCCCGAAAGGGGUGCUAAUACCGGAUAAUGUCUUCGGACCAAAGAUUUAUCGCCUUUGGAUGGGCCCGCGUUGGAUUAGCUAGUUGGUAGGGUAAAAGCCUACCAAGGCGACGAUCCAUAGCUGGUCUGAGAGGAUGAUCAGCCACACUGGGACUGAGACACGGCCCAGACUCCUACGGGAGGCAGCAGUGGGGAAUAUUGGACAAUGGGCGAAGGCCUGAUCCAGCAAUGCCGCGUGAGUGAUGAAGGCCUUAGGGUUGUAAAGCUCUUUUACCCGGGAUGAUAAUGACAGUACCGGGAGAAUAAGCUCCGGCUAACUCCGUG